GGGGAAAUAGCUUAACUGGUAGAGCAUCAGACUUCCACCCUGAGAUUCCUGGUUCAAUUCCUAGCACCA
Molecule: transfer RNA, 69 nt
Filed under: Erinaceus europaeus (western European hedgehog)
Lineage: Eukaryota; Metazoa; Chordata; Mammalia; Eulipotyphla; Erinaceidae
Rfam family: tRNA
About the family: Transfer RNA (tRNA) molecules are approximately 80 nucleotides in length. Their secondary structure includes four short double-helical elements and three loops (D, anti-codon, and T loops). Further hydrogen bonds mediate the characteristic L-shaped molecular structure. tRNAs have two regions of fundamental functional importance: the anti-codon, which is responsible for specific mRNA codon recognition, and the 3' end, to which the tRNAs corresponding amino acid is attached (by aminoacyl-tRNA synthetases). tRNAs cope with the degeneracy of the genetic code in two manners: having more than one tRNA (with a specific anti-codon) for a particular amino acid; and 'wobble' base-pairing, i.e. permitting non-standard base-pairing at the 3rd anti-codon position.
Source: Rfam by way of RNAcentral